GGUCAAAUCAUCAUGCCCCUUAAGUCUUGGGCAUCACACGUGCUACAAUGGCUGUAACAAAGUGACGCGACCCCGCGAGGGUGAGCAAACCACAAAAAUGCAGCCUCAGUUCGGAUCGCAGUCUGCAACCCGACUGCGUGAAGUCGGAAUCGCUAGUAAUCGCGAAUCAGCAUGUCGCGGUGAAUACGUUCCCGGGGUUU
RNAcentral lists this ribosomal RNA (200 nucleotides) under uncultured prokaryote. RNAcentral's name for it is "partial 16S ribosomal RNA". It matches the Rfam family "Bacterial small subunit ribosomal RNA", at positions 1183 to 1382 of the family's 1533-position model. The record is from RNAcentral.